RNAcentral lists this ribosomal RNA (501 nucleotides) under uncultured bacterium. Its description in RNAcentral is "bacterial SSU rRNA". It matches the Rfam family "Bacterial small subunit ribosomal RNA", at positions 29 to 521 of the family's 1533-position model. The record is from RNAcentral.
AACGAACGCUGGCGGCGCGCCUAAUACAUGCAAGUCGAGCGAGAAGACGUAGCAAUACGUUUGUAAAGCGGCGAACGGGUGAGGAAUACAUGGGUAACCUACCCUCGAGUGGGGAAUAACUAGCCGAAAGGUUAGCUAAUACCGCGUACGCUCCUUGGACUUCGGUUCAGGGAGGAAAGCGAUACCGUGGGUAUCGCGCUCUUGGAUGGGCUCAUGUCCUAUCAGCUUGUUGGUGAGGUAACGGCUCACCAAGGCUUCGACGGGUAGCUGGUCUGAGAGGACGAUCAGCCACACUGGCACUGCGACACGGGCCAGACUCCUACGGGAGGCAGCAGUAAGGAAUAUUGCGCAAUGGGCGAAAGCCUGACGCAGCGACGCCGCGUGGGGGGAUGGAAGGUCUUCGGAUUGUAAACCCCUUUCGGGAGGGAAGAUGGAACGAGCAAUCGUUCGGACGGUACCUCCAGAAGCAGCCACGGCUAACUUCGUGCCAGCAGCCGCGGU